GAUGAACGCUGGCGGCGUGCCUAAUACAUGCAAGUCGAGCGAACAGACGAGGAGCUUGCUCCUCUGACGUUAGCGGCGGACGGGUGAGUAACACGUGGAUAACCUACCUAUAAGACUGGGAUCACUUCGGGAAACCGGAGCUAAUACCGGAUAAUAUAUUGAACCGCAUGGUUCAAUAGUGAAAGACGGUUUUGCUGUCACUUAUAGAUGGAUCCGCGCCGCAUUAGCUAGUUGGUAAGGUAACGGCUUACCAAGGCAACGAUGCGUAGCCGACCUGAGAGGGUGAUCGGCCACACUGGAACUGAGACACGGUCCAGACUCCUACGGGAGGCAGCAGUAGGGAAUCUGCCGCAAUGGGCGAAAGCCUGACGGAGCAACGCCGCGUGAGUGAUGAAGGUCUUCGGAUCGUAAAACUCUGUUAUUAGGAAAGAACAAAUGUGUAAGUAACUAUGCACGUCUUGACGGUACCGAAUCAGAAAGCCACGGCUAACUACGUG
RNAcentral lists this ribosomal RNA (497 nucleotides) under uncultured bacterium. RNAcentral describes it as "partial 16S ribosomal RNA". It matches the Rfam family "Bacterial small subunit ribosomal RNA", at positions 28 to 507 of the family's 1533-position model. The record is from RNAcentral.